UUGAUGGAGAGUUUGAUCCUGGCUCAGGACGAACGCUGGCGGCGUGCUUAACACAUGCAAGUCGAACGAUG
This 71-nucleotide ribosomal RNA is filed under the name Bifidobacteriaceae bacterium. RNAcentral describes it as "partial 16S ribosomal RNA". It matches the Rfam family "Bacterial small subunit ribosomal RNA", at positions 1 to 71 of the family's 1533-position model. Lineage: Bacteria; Bacillati; Actinomycetota; Actinomycetes; Bifidobacteriales; Bifidobacteriaceae. The record is from RNAcentral.